AACGAACGCUGGCGGCAUGCCUAACACAUGCAAGUCGAACGAGACCUUCGGGUCUAGUGGCGCACGGGUGCGUAACGCGUGGGAACCUGCCCUUAGGUUCGGAAUAACUCCCCGAAAGGGGUGCUAAUACCGGAUAAUGUCUUCGGACCAAAGAUUUAUCGCCUUUGGAUGGGCCCGCGUUGGAUUAGCUAGUUGGUAGGGUAAAAGCCUACCAAGGCGACGAUCCAUAGCUGGUCUGAGAGGAUGAUCAGCCACACUGGGACUGAGACACGGCCCAGACUCCUACGGGAGGCAGCAGUGGGGAAUAUUGGACGAUGGGCGAAAGCCUGAUCCAGCAAUGCCGCGUGAGUGAUGAAGGCCUUAGGGUUGUAAAGCUCUUUUACCCGAGAUGAUAAUGACAGUACCGGGAGAAUAAGCACCGGCUAACUCCGUG
Molecule: ribosomal RNA, 433 nt
Filed under: uncultured bacterium
Lineage: Bacteria
Description: partial 16S ribosomal RNA
Rfam family: Bacterial small subunit ribosomal RNA
Source: RNAcentral